Molecule: long non-coding RNA, 369 nt
Organism: Melospiza melodia melodia
Lineage: Eukaryota; Metazoa; Chordata; Aves; Passeriformes; Passerellidae
Exons: 2
Source: RefSeq, a predicted model, not a curated record
GCCGAGAGCCGGCCCUGAGGGCUCUCGGCCCGGCCAUGGCAGCGGGGGGCCCUGUGAAAAACAAUAUCGGACCAUGUAAUUAAAGACUCUCAUAAUGAGUGGCAGGGAUGCUCAACAGAGGAAGAAAAGUUCUGUCCGUGCUCUCCAGACACUUCAUUGCCUCCCCGAGGUCCUGACGGGACAAGUGAAGGUGCUCGAUGUUCCUAUGGCCAACAGGAAGAAACCAGUUUGUUUCUUUCCCUCUCUCAUGUAUUCACUCGUGAUGGAAGAUGACCUUUUAAUUUUUUCCCCUCCGUAAGAGUUUGUUCCAUCUCUUUGUUAAUUAAAUGAAAAUGCUACGUAAAUAAAGAGGCUUUGCUUUGCAAAGUA